CUUUUAUACUUUCUUUGCAGGGAAACAGAACAUGUCUUGGACUGUUGCUUUUAUUAACAGGAGAAUAAAUGAAAGCUACUUCAUCAACCAAAAUCUACGCGGCUUUGAUAAGGAUGUACCUAUCCAUGCCGAUGCCAUGACCAGAAGUCCUACAUACACCAACUGCAACGCAUGCUGCAAUUAAAGAAAAAUUCAGAUGUUCUUGCAAGCUCAGAGCAUGAAGAAUAUAAUGAGGAAAAGAAUGUUUUCAGGUAUGGAUUUAAUGACAGAGUAUGUAAAUUACUUUAAUUAUAUUUAGUAUUGAGUUGUGGGGACAA
Phoenix dactylifera (date palm) is the source of this 317-nucleotide non-coding RNA. NCBI's taxonomy places the organism in Eukaryota, Viridiplantae, Streptophyta, Magnoliopsida, Arecales, Arecaceae. The record is from RefSeq and is a predicted model, not a curated record.